GCAUAACGCGAAGAACCUUACCUGGGCUUGAACUGUCGGUAUAGGGACCCGAAAGGGCGACGAUCCCGGGCAACCGGGAAGCCGAUAGAGGUGCUGCAUGGCUGUCGUCAGCUCGUGUCGUGAGAUGUUGGGUUAAGUCCCGCAACGAGCGCAACCCUUGUCUUUAGUUGCCAGCGAGUCAUGUCGGGCACUCUAAGGAGACUGCCUCGGAUAACGAGGAGGAAGGUGGGGAUGACGUCAAGUCAGCAUGGCCUUUAUGUCCAGGGCUACACACGUGCUACAAUGGGCGGCACAGAAGGACGCGAGACCGCGAGGUCAAGUCAACCCUUAAAACCGUUCUCAGUUCGGAUUGCAGGCUGCAAUUCGCCUGCAUGAAGUCGGAAUCGCUAGUAAUCGCGGAUCAGCUACGCCGCGGUGAAUACGUUCUCGGGUCUUGUACACACCG
Molecule: ribosomal RNA, 445 nt
Filed under: uncultured bacterium
Lineage: Bacteria
Description: bacterial SSU rRNA
Rfam family: Bacterial small subunit ribosomal RNA
Source: RNAcentral